RNAcentral lists this ribosomal RNA (408 nucleotides) under uncultured bacterium. RNAcentral describes it as "partial 16S ribosomal RNA". It matches the Rfam family "Bacterial small subunit ribosomal RNA", at positions 28 to 526 of the family's 1533-position model. The record is from RNAcentral.
GACGAACGCUGGCGGCGUGCUUAACACAUGCAAGUCGAACGAAGUGGCGAACGGGUGAGUAACGCGUAAUCAACCUGCCCUUCAGAGGGGGACAACAGGUGGAAACGACUGCUCAUACCGCAUACUGAAGGAGGGGAUUGCGUCUGAUUAGCUAGUUGGAGGGGUAACGGCCCACCAAGGCGAUGAUCAGUAGCCGGUCGUAGAGGAUGAACGGCCACAUUGGGACUGAGACACGGCCCAGACUCCUACGGGAGGCAGCAGUGGGGAAGCCUCCGCAAUGGAAGAAAGUCUGACGGAGCAACGCCGCGUGAGUGAUGACGGCCUUCGGGUUGUAAAGCUCUGUUAAUCGGGACGCGGUACCGGAAUAGAAAGCCACGGCUAACUACGUGCCAGCAGCCGCGGUAAUAC